This 492-nucleotide ribosomal RNA is filed under the name uncultured bacterium. RNAcentral describes it as "partial 16S ribosomal RNA". It matches the Rfam family "Bacterial small subunit ribosomal RNA", at positions 29 to 507 of the family's 1533-position model. The record is from RNAcentral.
AGUGAACGCUGGCGGCAGGCCUAACACAUGCAAGUCGAACGAACGCACAGUAAGAGCUUGCUCUUACGGGUGGCGCGUGGCGGAAGGGUGAGGAAUGCAUCGGAUUACACUUUUUCGUGGGGGAUAACGUAGGGAAACUUCUGCUAAUACAGCAUAUGUCCUACGGAUAAAAGCAGGCGUUCUUCUGACUUUUUGCGACUGUAAUAGCCCAUGUCGGAUUCGCUAGUUGGCUGGGUAAAGGCCCACCAAGGCGACGAUCCGUAGCGGGUCUGAGAGGGUGAACAGCCACACUGGAACUGAGACACGGUCCAGACUCCUACGGGAGGCAGCAGUGGGGAAUAUUGCACAAUGGGCGAAAGCCUGAUCCAGCCAAACCGCGUGAGGGAUGAAGGCCUUCGGGUGGUAAAACGCUGUUGUUAGGAAAGAAAAAAAGUAGUUUAAUACCCCGCUGUACUGACGGUACCCAAAGAAUAAGCACCGGCUAACUUCGUG